AUGGUUUCCCCCGAAUUACUUUCUUUGCUCUCUAGAGAUGAGUCGCUGGAUAUCGGGCAGUUCCCUGGAUUACCAGUCAGGACGAGUUUAGAAGAAUCUGCGUCUUUUACUGCGUGCAGAGUCGGGUUUAGGAGAGAAGACGAGUUUUUUGAGGAUGGAGAUGUACAUCGCCAUUUGUACCUCCAAAAUAUAUUGACUGGAAUUGGAGAAGUGGAAGCAAGGUCCAGGGUGUCAGAAUUUCCUUGCCAAGUAGCAGACUGUGCGCAGCUCUUUGACACAUUGGAGUCCUUUGAACAUCACUACAACACUCUGCAUAGAAAUGUUUGUUCCACAUGCAAAAGAUCUUUUCCAUCGGUCAGGCUUUUGGACAUACACAUUCUUGAAUGGCAUGACUCGCUCUUCCAGAUUAUGGCGGAAAAGACCAGUAUGUUCCAGUGUUUGGUGGAGGGAUGUAUGGAGAAAUUUGAAACUAGUGGCAAGCGGAAAAAUCAUUUAAUCAAAGCCCACCUCUAUCCAUCUGACUUUCGGUUUGGCAUGCCUAAGAAAAAUAAAAGCAAAACCAAGCAAGAGUGUUGCAAAAAUCAGUCUAUGGACAUAAUGCCUGAAGAGUCAUCACUGGUAGAAUCAAUGGAGAUUAGUGUUUUAUCUACAGGUGACCAUAGUUCUUCACAUGCAUCAGUGUCUUCAAUGCCACAUAACAAACCCAGGUGAUAUUUCAGGAUAUGCAGCCCUGUGUGUGUGUGUACAUGAAGAGCAGCACUAUUACUGAUGAUUAUAUAACUUUGUUCUAUUCUUUAGAUGAUUUCUGCUUCACAGACUUGAGCUCUAAUUUGCAGUUCUCUUAGAGCUGAUGGGCAGACAUUUAUUGACUUUUCUUGAAGGCACAGGACUAUGCUGAAUUUCUGAGUGGAAUACGGUCUCAAAGGCGAGGGGGGAGAGCGAAGAAGCUUGAUAACACAAAGUGUUUUUGUCUAAUAUAUGUUGCAAAGUUUCUUAUAUUUACUUAUUUAUGCAAAGUUUGUUGAAAUUACAGUGCCUAUUUAAUACUUGUCAAAAGGCUUAAUAGGUUGUGGUCUGAGUAUCGAUUUCAAUAAUGAGCCUGAAGAAGCAUUCGGCUUGGUACCUCUUUCCUGGCUCACAGCCAUCUCAGUCUCACAGCAGGAGAUAUGCUCCAUAGGCUUAUAAUAGAGUAUGUCACUUAAGUGAGAUGGAAAAGGCAGUGAGUCAGGUAGUGAAGCGAUUAGUUGGGUGAUUCUUCAGGCUUGUUUUUUUUUUCUUUUGAAAAGAACAGAACGAGAGGCCGUCAACAUCCGGGGGUCAGUCCCCUUCACAUACAAUUUAAAAUAUGAAACGUAAUAUAAAAAGUGCAAAAAUGACAAACUUGAUAACAAAAAGAGCAACAGAGAAUUGGCAAAUGAAAAUGCACAACAUAUAGUAAAAUCAGAUGAUAGUAGUGUGAAAGCAUGUUGAGUGCUGGGAUUAAUUUUGAGGUAGUUUCUGCCCUUAUGAGGGCCUCAUAGGCUGUUGGGGCUAAGGGAGAUGCCCAGUGACAGAGGCAUACUGCCCUGCUACUUCUGGAGGUGAAGAGAAGGAAAAGCCACACUGGAAAGGAUUAACUUGACAGGCUAUCUGUGCGGGAUACGGGGAAGCAGCCUCCAGCCACGCUGGGGGAGCACACACUGCCGGAGUCAUGGCUGAGGGCCCUUAUGCUGUGAAAGCACUUACUGUGGCAUUCAAGGCUUAGAAAGAGCUGCUGUGAAGGACAUCUGUCCAGCUGUGCUGGAGAGGUCACUGAGCCACCAAUACCGCUGUGGAAGCCAUCUUUGAAUGCUACCUUGACAGACUUCAGACUGCGGUGUCUAGAAGGAGCAACAGAUACCAGGUGGGUCACAGGACAUGGUGUAGACUGUACUGAAGCCCUGCGGUGUUGAGGCAUCCCUCGGAGAGCUGUGAAUGGGGGGUGCCUUCUACAAUCUGCUUUGGACGUGGAUCUAUGAGAGGAUUCAGGCAUGCAAAGAAAAAGAAAUGAUCAUAGUAUUGAACAAUGAAAACUGAAACUAACUCUGGCUAUAUGUCUAUAUCUAAUAAUCUAUCUAACCUUACAAUGGCUGUAGAAUAUCAGACAUAAGUAGUUUUUUUAACUGCAACCACAAGAUACAGACUUUGUCAACUAACUACCACUUUAUAUGUAUUUGUUACAUAACUGAAUGUAAUAAGUAAGAAAUUGUCAUAAAAUGUUGAAUAAAUGAAUCUAGUAUUUCA
This is an RNA transcript of Hyla sarda, 2262 nucleotides long. It is a transcript of the gene named zinc finger protein 511, with no coding region annotated. NCBI's taxonomy places the organism in Eukaryota, Metazoa, Chordata, Amphibia, Anura, Hylidae. The record is from RefSeq and is a predicted model, not a curated record. The transcript has 7 exons.